GCUGCAUGGUCCAGUGGGACACUUUAUAGUCCUGAGAGGUGCACUCUGGAGCACUGGCAGCUGUCCUUCAUGACAACACAAGCCACAUACGGCCUCCUCAUCACCAACAUGACUUUGGUGUGCGUCCUCAUGUGGACUGUCCUCUGCUGCUGCUUCACAGAGUCCAGAGGAGAGGUGACAGUGAGUCAGGCUGGAGCAGUGAGGGCCGCCCUGGGGGACACCGCCACCAUACGCUGUACUGUCAGCCAGAAUGUGUACUAUGAGAGUACAUAUGGGCACAGGUUACACUGGUACCAACAGAGAGAUGGAGAGCCUCCUAAACUUCUUAUAUAUCUUGCAUCUACUCGAGUCUCAGGUGUCCCCAGUCGUUUUUCAGGCAGUGGAUCUGGGUCUGACUUCACUCUGACCAUCAGUGGAGUUCAGCCUGAAGAUUACACUGUGUAUUACUGUCAGAGUUAUCACUACAUCAACAGUCAGUGGGUGUUCACACAGUGAAAAAGACUCGUACAAAAACCUC
Periophthalmus magnuspinnatus is the source of this 517-nucleotide non-coding RNA. Lineage: Eukaryota; Metazoa; Chordata; Actinopteri; Gobiiformes; Gobiidae. The record is from the annotation of a RefSeq genome assembly.